GAGCUACGAAAUGGCUUGGUAGUGGGUACCCCAAGGGUUCAUAUGAGGGUCCAAGGGCUGCCUUAUGUAGGGGGCAGUCAAGAAGAGAGCAAAAUGGAGUCCAAGAGUGUAAGUAGCCAGCUAUCCCUAAGAAGGACAGAAUUCAAGUAACUUGGUGUCCAGAAGGAAGGAGAGUGGUCAUCACUCUGAUACCGUGAUGACCCCCUAAGGCUCCCUGUCAAAGAUGGUGGUGGUCAGGACAGGAGAGCUCGGGGCCCUUCAGUCAUCCAUAGCCAGAUCAAGGAGGUCAGCUGAAGGGUGGUCUGGGCUUGAUGUCCUCAUACCAUGAGGGACAUGGGGCAGUAAAAACCCCAGUAACCUUCUUGAUGGCACCUUGGACAUGGACCAGGUGGUUUAUGAGGGUUCAGACAGGCCUGGGCCCAGAGACCGUCCUGAUCACAUGUGAAGCAGGGUCAUGGAGGUUCUCGGGCUAUGGGGGCCAGAGAGCCUGGGAGCCUGGGCUUUUGCUUUGGCUGCUGAGGUCUGAGCUGCUGUCACGUAUUCUUGUUUUUUGUCUCUGUAAAAAACAAUUAUUUUCCUUUUUCUACCUCUCCUCCUGGAAGGACAACUCUGAGACUUUAGUAAAUGGCUAGGCCUCAAGCUUUGGCUCAUUCCCCGACUAGCUUAUAACUUAUUUAACCCAUUAAAUUACUUUAUCUUCCCCAUGGUUAGUUUCCUCUCCUCCACUCUCUCCUGAGCUCAGCUACUGCUGCUUUAUGCCCAUCUCCUCGGUGUUGCCAGCAAAUCUCUUAUUCACACCACACCACAAACCUCACACAAGAGAUUAGCUGGGAGGGAAACUCGAGGGGGUGGGGGUGGCUGCCUCUGCUGAGGCCAGAAGCAGCAGAGAACUGGGCAGAACACAGGGUUUAUAUAGGGUUGGGG
This 924-nucleotide long non-coding RNA is filed under the name Rattus norvegicus (Norway rat). Its description in RNAcentral is "long non-coding RNA NONRATT007388". Lineage: Eukaryota; Metazoa; Chordata; Mammalia; Rodentia; Muridae. The record is from RNAcentral.